UCCCUGGUUGUCCAGUGGUUAAGACUCUGUGCUCCCAAUACAUAGGGGUCAGGGUUCAAUUCCUGGUCAGGGAA
RNAcentral lists this transfer RNA (74 nucleotides) under Bos taurus (domestic cattle). It matches the Rfam family "tRNA". Rfam says of the family: Transfer RNA (tRNA) molecules are approximately 80 nucleotides in length. Their secondary structure includes four short double-helical elements and three loops (D, anti-codon, and T loops). Further hydrogen bonds mediate the characteristic L-shaped molecular structure. tRNAs have two regions of fundamental functional importance: the anti-codon, which is responsible for specific mRNA codon recognition, and the 3' end, to which the tRNAs corresponding amino acid is attached (by aminoacyl-tRNA synthetases). tRNAs cope with the degeneracy of the genetic code in two manners: having more than one tRNA (with a specific anti-codon) for a particular amino acid; and 'wobble' base-pairing, i.e. permitting non-standard base-pairing at the 3rd anti-codon position. The record is from Rfam by way of RNAcentral. Lineage: Eukaryota; Metazoa; Chordata; Mammalia; Artiodactyla; Bovidae. RNAcentral also lists the same sequence under 1 other name.